CGUAGGCGGGGAGGUAAGUCGGGUGUGAAAUCCCUCGGCCCAACCGAGGAACUGCGCCCGAGACUGCUUCUCUUGAGUCCCGGAGAGGAAGAUGGAAUUCCCGGUGUAGCGGUGAAAUGUGUAGAGAUCGGGAGGAACACCGGUGGCGAAGGCGGUCUUCUGGACGGUGACUGACGCUGAGGCGCGAAAGCGUGGGGAGCAAAACGG
Molecule: ribosomal RNA, 207 nt
Filed under: uncultured bacterium
Lineage: Bacteria
Description: partial 16S ribosomal RNA
Rfam family: Bacterial small subunit ribosomal RNA
Source: RNAcentral